This 506-nucleotide ribosomal RNA is filed under the name uncultured bacterium. RNAcentral describes it as "partial 16S ribosomal RNA". It matches the Rfam family "Bacterial small subunit ribosomal RNA", at positions 29 to 523 of the family's 1533-position model. The record is from RNAcentral.
AGUGAACGCUGGCGGUAGGCCUAACACAUACAAGUCGAACGGCAGCACAGAGGAGCUUGCUCCUUGGGUGGCGAGUGGCGGACGGGUGAGGAAUACAUCGGAAUCUACUCUGUCGUGGGGGAUAACGUAGGGAAACUUACGCUAAUACCGCAUACGUCCUACGGGUGAAAGCAGGGGAUCUUCGGACCUUGCGCGAUUGAAUGAGCCGAUGUCGGAUUAGCUAGUUGGCGGGGUAAAGGCCCACCAAGGCGACGAUCCGUAGCUGGUCUGAGAGGAUGAUCAGCCACACUGGAACUGAGACACGGUCCAGACUCCUACGGGAGGCAGCAGUGGGGAAUAUUGGACAAUGGGCGCAAGCCUGAUCCAGCCAUACCGCGUGGGUGAAGAAGGCCUUCGGGUUGUAAAGCCCCUUUGUUGGGAAAGAAAUCCAUCUGGUUAAUACCCGGGUGGGAUGACGGUACCCAAGGAAUAAGCACCGGCUAACUUCGUGCCAGCCGCCGCCGUAA